UGGGGAAUAUUGCACAAUGGGCGAAAGCCUGAUGCAGCAACGCCGCGUGAGGGACGACGGCCUCGGGUUGUAAACCUCUUUUAGCAAGGAAGAAGCGAAAGUGACGGUACUUGCAGAAAAAGCGCCGGCUAACUACGUGCCAGCAGCCGCGGUAAUACGUAGGGCGCAAGCGUUAUCCGGAAUUAUUGGGGCGUAAAGAGCUCGUAGGCGGUUUGUCGCGUCUGCUGUGAAAACCCGAGGCUCAACCUCGGGCCUGCAGUGGGUACGGGCAGACUAGAGUGCGGUAGGGGAGAUUGGAACUCCUGGUGUAGCGGUGGAAUGCGCAGAUAUCAGGAAGAACACCGAUGGCGAAGGCAGAUCUCUGGGCCGUAACUGACGCUGAGAGCGAAAGGGUGGGGAGCAAACAGGCUUAGAUGACCCUGGUAGUCCACCCCGUAAACGUGGGAACUAGUGUGGGUCCAUUCCACGGAUUCCGUGACGCAGCUAACGCAUUAAGUUCCCCGCCUGGGGAGUACGGCCGCAAGGCU
RNAcentral lists this ribosomal RNA (527 nucleotides) under uncultured bacterium. RNAcentral describes it as "partial 16S ribosomal RNA". It matches the Rfam family "Bacterial small subunit ribosomal RNA", at positions 355 to 895 of the family's 1533-position model. The record is from RNAcentral.